Long non-coding RNA from Triticum aestivum (bread wheat), 3399 nucleotides. RefSeq lists it as uncharacterized. Lineage: Eukaryota; Viridiplantae; Streptophyta; Magnoliopsida; Poales; Poaceae. The record is from RefSeq and is a predicted model, not a curated record. The transcript is spliced from 3 exons.
AAACGGUUGGGCUUUGGCUGGUCGCUAGGAGCUAGCCCACUCACCCCGUACAUGAACAGGUGCGAGCGGUUUUCACGGGCUCGGGCAGGUGUUCCUCUAUCCCGACCCUCCCCUCUCUGGCAAUGGGGAGGCGACGACAGCGGCGGCCCCGGAGGGACCAACCGGAGGCGAGGCCUACUCCCAUCUCUCGCGCGUGAAGUAGUCCACUUUGCGCCUCUGAUCGGUAGCGAACCGAGGCGACAUAGGCAGUGCAACGAUCCGACGCGAGCUGGGCGGCGACAAUGGCCUUCUCCGGCGUCGCCCUCCAUCGUCGGCUUUCUUCUCGCCGGUUGAUGGUGGAGACUGGCGCUCGGAGGUGGGAUCAAUUCAAGGAGGAGGUGGAUGUCAUGCUGUAGGAGGAGAAGAAGGCUGCGGAGAAGGAACAACAGUACAGUAUCUUCUUAGAUCCAGCCAAAGGCGAUGGCCCUGUUUCUACUCUGUUAUAGAUAAACUGUCCCUUUUUUUCUUCAUUGGAGCUCCACCGUUUUGAAAUAACUAGACUGUCACAUAGUAUUGAGAAAUACCAUGUUCAGCCAUUUACUUAGAAUGGAGUUGGGAUGCUGCUACUGUAUGACAAUGGUCAUCCCAUCAUUGUAAAUAUGCUCUAUUGCAGAAGGAACAUAAAGAACUAGGAAAGGGUAAAGUACAAGUAAAUGUGAAAAAACAAGCCUCGCAGCGAAAAAUCAUGCCCCAAAAAGAAGCACAAAACAUUCGUGCCCAAGUAACUGUAAUCUUAAUGCACAAUGUCACCGGCUUGUUGAUAGGGAGUGUAAUGUCUAGUUAGUUUUUGAGUUAGUUGAGCCACUGCCAUCUGGGGCAAUCAUAUUCUGAAUAUAUCGAGAUUUACACCUAUCGAUUAGCUAAUCUUACUAAAGAACACAAAUGUGCCUUUUCUAAAACUUGAAUCGUCCUGGUAAAAGUACGGAUUUUCACUUGACCUGUGGCUGUCUAUAUGUCGAAGGCUUCUGAAUUUCUCUAGGCGUAGAAUUGAACAAUAGUGAGACAUUGUAGGCGCAGGCCUGAAUAAUAGUGAGACAUGGUAUCAACUAGCGAAAAGUGCAAGAUGCAGGAUCAGCUUUUAUUCUUCCAGUUCAUGGUACAUUUGUUGGUCUUUGUCACCUCUUUGAAAGCACUGCAUACACCUGCAGUACAGUAAACUUUCUCAGGGUUGGUUCUCAUAUUUUCACACUGAGCUUAGGCUAACGCUGGAUGGCUAAGCACCUAUUUAUUUCUAGUUUUGAUCUGUUGAUACAUGGUGAAAUGAACAGAACGAUAUAGCUGGGCGUGCUCCUAUUUUAUGUCUAUGUAAAGAAGCAAUGCAAUCUAUAUUGGAUGCAAGUUUGGAAAUGUAUUAUUUGUACAUGCUCCUAUUUUAUGUUGGCCCCACAUCUCGUAACUCUCAAAUUUCUUACAUCGGCUGGCGAAUGUGGGCUAACUCCGAACUGCUAGAUUUUUAUAUGUGGUUGGUUGGACACCUUAUGUUGGCGGACACUGACCUUCUCCCAGCCUGUCAAUAUUCACGGAAGCUAAGUUUGAUUUAUUUCUAUUGCCAAGAGGUGGACACUGAUUCUCAUCCAGCCUGUCAAUCUUCACUAAUAUUUUGGUUUAACCUGCUCUCAAUGCAAGAGUAAUCAUGUAUAACAGGGAAAUGCGAUUUUUCCUUCAGGUUAUUGCUUGUUUGUUUUUUGUAGCAUACACCAGAUGGGAAUGUGCUAUUUUUGAUGAGUAAAUGCGAUUCUAACUGUGCUCCAUCAAUUUUUUUUCCGUAGCCAUGGAUACGUAAAGAAAAUCAGCACCAUUAUUUUUGUUUGAAAUUCUAUAUACUGUAAGACUUUGAUUUCGUUCACAUUUGACCUAUUUUCCUAUCUUGCAGAGCCAUCCAUUCAAAUAUGGUUAAUAUCUUCUACCCUGUAUUUACUGUACCACUAGAAUAGAGACGUGCAUUUAUUUUAGUCGAUCAAUUUUUCUGCUGUAGCAAUACUUUCUGUUGUCAUCCUGGUUGUGCUCCAAUUCACUAUUUCCAUGAAUUAAUGUUAGGUACUCCGUCAGCAUGUUCACAUUAUGUGCUAGCCUGCUUUUAAAGGUCUAUUCAAGUGGAUGACGACAACUGUAUGAGGGUAGAGAGGAAUGAGUUUUCUGGAACACGUCUUCGUAUUUUAGUGUAUGGUGGGUACAGGUAUUGUUUGGUUCAAAAUUUAGACCUUUUUACCAAUAAUUAGUAGCAAAAUUUAGGAUUGUUGAGAAGAGAGGUGAAGCUAAAGGCUUCAGUACUAUUCUUAGGAUACUAUAUGUUGCUUCCAGGCCAUGUAUAAGAAUUGUUCAGUUACUUGAGAGAUUGUUGAACAUAUGAAAUUGAUGGAAGUCUUUGGGCACCGUCAAGUUAAGUUGCUUGAAGACCAAGUUCAAAUAUGUGUGAGGGCAGUGCAGUUGGGCAUGCCAGUGUAGUAGAUCUGUUUUGAAAUAGUGCUUUCAGAAAUUUUCCUGCUGCUGGUCGCCAAAUGGCAUUCAAUUAUCUCCAAAUGAUUUUUUCUAUACUCAUAGGGAUAGUUUUAAUUACGUGAGACAUUUCCCAGAACCAUUAGUUAGUUUUGUACACUGAAUCUAUUUAUUAGACGGUUUUGUUAUUCCUAGGGCCAUGUUGAUCGUUCUUCCAUUUGUUAUAUAGCAUUAUUUUAGGGCCAUCGGGCUACCAUCCAUUCCAUGGGCUCGUGAUUUUACUGUGUUCGUGAUGAUACAUCUGUCCCUUUUAUGUUUGGUUCUUCAGAUAUUAAUGUUGUCAUCUCAAUCAGUGCUGAGCAUCGUUUAUGGGCUUUUGGAUUGUUAUCAUCACUGUAGUGCUGAUGUACCUCCCAAGAAGAAAUAUAAUGUGGUAGGCAGAGAUACCUCUUAUGGGAUGGUUUAGAUUGAGGCAAAGCAAAGCUUUCGCCUCCAAAUUUUUUUACGGACUUGUCCCUGUAUUACAAAAAAAGUUUCUAGCUGAUUACUGUGGAAAUACCUGAGACAAAUCAAACUUUUGGAAUGCAGUUCUAGGAUUCUGGAUAUGGCAUUUUCAAGGUUAUUUCGUACUAUAAGAAAAUUUUCGUUUGAUCUGCACAUCUCAAAGUAAAGUUAAGACCGCUCCGCAAUCUUUUUGUGUUUCUGGUCUAAGUCAACAAGAUAAUAUAGUACCUCGCCCAGAAAAAAGAUGAUCCAUUUGACAACUGUCGUGCAAAACAUUGGAGAAAAAAUUGCAAACAAGAACUACACUGAAGAACAAUUUAUAGGAACACAGUCACAUCCUACAAAAGAAGUCAGGCACGUCUCCUACUCAUCCUAAAAUUACAGCAACAUCAUUUUGUUUUUUAUAGUGUUAUUACUUUG